This 300-nucleotide ribosomal RNA is filed under the name uncultured Methanosarcina sp. RNAcentral describes it as "bacterial SSU rRNA". It matches the Rfam family "Bacterial small subunit ribosomal RNA", at positions 497 to 795 of the family's 1533-position model. The record is from RNAcentral. Lineage: Archaea; Methanobacteriati; Methanobacteriota; Methanomicrobia; Methanosarcinales; Methanosarcinaceae.
GUGAACGAGUGGCUGGAGACGGUGGUAAGACAGGUGGUGCAAUGGUGAGUCGGAAUUUAUGGGGGGAAGGCGGGCGUAGGUGGUUCAGUAAGAUGGGUGUGAAAGCCCCGGGGUUAACCUGGGAACUGCUGUCAUAACUGCUGAGCUAGAGUACGGUAGAGGGUAGUGGAAUUUCCUGUGUAGCGGUGAAAUGCGUAGAUAUAGGAAGGAACACCAGUGGCGAAGGCGACUACCUGGACUGAUACUGACACUGAGGUGCGAAAGCGUGGGGAGCAAACAGGAUUAGAUACCCCUGUAGUC